This is a long non-coding RNA of Solanum lycopersicum (tomato), 890 nucleotides long. RefSeq lists it as uncharacterized. NCBI's taxonomy places the organism in Eukaryota, Viridiplantae, Streptophyta, Magnoliopsida, Solanales, Solanaceae. The record is from RefSeq and is a predicted model, not a curated record.
UAAUCAUUUUUCCUCAUUUUAUUUGCAUGAACUCAAAUUUCCUCUUUUCUACAUCAAAUUUGUACAGCAAGAGCGUGCUUGGCACGAGACCAAAGACACAUGGAGCUUCCAAAGGCAGCCAUGGUGUGGUAGGUUCUGUCAAAUUUCUUUGUUUCUUUUAAAUUUCGUUUCAAAUUCGUACUAUUCCAACUCACUGGAGUCUGAGCCUCUAAGAAAUUUUCGAAAAAAUGGUUCCUCCCACAUUGAAAAUAUUCUCAAAAUUUGAAGAUUUUUGGGUGCUAUAAAAAGCCCCUCUCUUCACUAUUUAAAGGGCGGAUUUUGCAACGAGAGAGUACCCAAAAAAGCUUUGGGAAAUCUUGGUUCAAAAGUUUAAUAUUAGGCGUUGUUCGAGUUGAAAGUAAUGGUGGUGUCGUCUUCCCUACUCGUCUUUUUGGUUUGCUUCCCACAACCAAACUUUCCGUUCCCUUGCGUUCUUUUCUUUUCGAGUCAAAUCUCUACCAAGUUACGUACGGAAAGCUGAUAUAUUGGGUUAAAACCUUAUAAAUCAGCAGUAGCAGCACUCCCAAAGGGAUUAAAAUUGAGAAUUUUGGAUUAUAAAAAAUUCAAUUUAUACAAUAACAGGUUGCAGCAAUCCCAAAGGACUAAAACAAAGGGAUUUUGGACUUUAAGGAGUCGUUUGGUACAAUAAGGAUUAAUACAGGGAAUAGUAAUGCAGGGAUUAACAAUGCAGGGAUUAGCAAUGCAGAGAUUAUUUUUUAUCCAAUGUUUGGUUUAUUGCUUAUUCAAAUCUUGUGUUUGGCUUAAAACUCCUAAAAAAUAACUUUUUUCCAAUUUUACCCUUGAAUUAUUAAGUUAUCUAUUUCAUGUAAUUACCAUAUCUAUUACGUUUA